Molecule: ribosomal RNA, 1463 nt
Filed under: Lacticaseibacillus rhamnosus
Lineage: Bacteria; Bacillati; Bacillota; Bacilli; Lactobacillales; Lactobacillaceae
Description: Lactobacillus rhamnosus 16S ribosomal RNA
Rfam family: Bacterial small subunit ribosomal RNA
Source: RNAcentral
CUGGCGGCGUGCCUAUACAUGCAAGUCGAACGAGUUCUGAUUAUUGAAAGGUGCUUGCAUCUUGAUUUAAUUUUGAACGAGUGGCGGACGGGUGAGUAACACGUGGGUAACCUGCCCUUAAGUGGGGGAUAACAUUUGGAAACAGAUGCUAAUACCGCAUAAAUCCAAGAACCGCAUGGUUCUUGGCUGAAAGAUGGCGUAAGCUAUCGCUUUUGGAUGGACCCGCGGCGUAUUAGCUAGUUGGUGAGGUAACGGCUCACCAAGGCAAUGAUACGUAGCCGAACUGAGAGGUUGAUCGGCCACAUUGGGACUGAGACACGGCCCAAACUCCUACGGGAGGCAGCAGUAGGGAAUCUUCCACAAUGGACGCAAGUCUGAUGGAGCAACGCCGCGUGAGUGAAGAAGGCUUUCGGGUCGUAAAACUCUGUUGUUGGAGAAGAAUGGUCGGCAGAGUAACUGUUGUCGGCGUGACGGUAUCCAACCAGAAAGCCACGGCUAACUACGUGCCAGCAGCCGCGGUAAUACGUAGGUGGCAAGCGUUAUCCGGAUUUAUUGGGCGUAAAGCGAGCGCAGGCGGUUUUUUAAGUCUGAUGUGAAAGCCCUCGGCUUAACCGAGGAAGUGCAUCGGAAACUGGGAAACUUGAGUGCAGAAGAGGACAGUGGAACUCCAUGUGUAGCGGUGAAAUGCGUAGAUAUAUGGAAGAACACCAGUGGCGAAGGCGGCUGUCUGGUCUGUAACUGACGCUGAGGCUCGAAAGCAUGGGUAGCGAACAGGAUUAGAUACCCUGGUAGUCCAUGCCGUAAACGAUGAAUGCUAGGUGUUGGAGGGUUUCCGCCCUUCAGUGCCGCAGCUAACGCAUUAAGCAUUCCGCCUGGGGAGUACGACCGCAAGGUUGAAACUCAAAGGAAUUGACGGGGGCCCGCACAAGCGGUGGAGCAUGUGGUUUAAUUCGAAGCAACGCGAAGAACCUUACCAGGUCUUGACAUCUUUUGAUCACCUGAGAGAUCAGGUUUCCCCUUCGGGGGCAAAAUGACAGGUGGUGCAUGGUUGUCGUCAGCUCGUGUCGUGAGAUGUUGGGUUAAGUCCCGCAACGAGCGCAACCCUUAUGACUAGUUGCCAGCAUUUAGUUGGGCACUCUAGUAAGACUGCCGGUGACAAACCGGAGGAAGGUGGGGAUGACGUCAAAUCAUCAUGCCCCUUAUGACCUGGGCUACACACGUGCUACAAUGGAUGGUACAACGAGUUGCGAGACCGCGAGGUCAAGCUAAUCUCUUAAAGCCAUUCUCAGUUCGGACUGUAGGCUGCAACUCGCCUACACGAAGUCGGAAUCGCUAGUAAUCGCGGAUCAGCACGCCGCGGUGAAUACGUUCCCGGGCCUUGUACACACCGCCCGUCACACCAUGAGAGUUUGUAACACCCGAAGCCGGUGGCGUAACCCUUUUAGGGAGCGAGCCGUCUAAGG